GAUGAACGCUGGCGGCGUGCCUAAUACAUGCAAGUCGAGCGAACAGACGAGGAGCUUGCUCCUCUGAGGUUAGCGGCGGACGGGUGAGUAACACGUGGAUAACCUACCUAUAAGACUGGGAUAACUUCGGGAAACCGGAGCUAAUACCGGAUAAUAUAUUGAACCGCAUGGUUCAAUAGUGAAAGACGGUUUUGCUGUCACUUAUAGAUGGAUCCGCGCCGCAUUAGCUAGUUGGUAAGGUAACGGCUUACCAAGGCAACGAUGCGUAGCCGACCUGAGAGGGUGAUCGGCCACACUGGAACUGAGACACGGUCCAGACUCCUACGGGAGGCAGCAGUAGGGAAUCUUCCGCAAUGGGCGAAAGCCUGACGGAGCAACGCCGCGUGAGUGAUGAAGGUCUUCGGAUCGUAAAACUCUGUUAUUAGGGAAGAACAAAUGUGUAAGUAACUAUGCACGUCUUGACGGUACCUAAUCAGAAAGCCACGGCUAACUACGUG
This 497-nucleotide ribosomal RNA is filed under the name uncultured bacterium. RNAcentral describes it as "partial 16S ribosomal RNA". It matches the Rfam family "Bacterial small subunit ribosomal RNA", at positions 28 to 507 of the family's 1533-position model. The record is from RNAcentral.